CGGGCCCCGCCUAGCCUCCCGCCCCUUCCUUCCCUAGAUGCGGUCAGUGCAAGGGCCAGCAGCCAUGCACGGUGACGGAGGGCCGCUGUGUGACCUGCGAGCCCGGCUGGAACGGCACCAAGUGCGACCAGCCUUGCGCCACUGGCUUCUACGGCGAGGGCUGCAGCCACCGCUGCCCGCCGUGUCGCGACGGGCACGCCUGCAACCACGUCACUGGCAAGUGCACGCGCUGCAACGCAGGCUGGAUCGGCGACCGGUGCGAGACCAAGUGCAGCAAUGGCACUUACGGCGAGGACUGCGCGUUCGUGUGCGUCGACUGCGGUAACGGCCACUGCGACUUCCAAUCCGGGCGAUGCCUGUGCAGCCCUGGUGUCCAUGGGCCCCACUGUAACCUGACGUGCCCGCCCGGACUCCACGGUGUGGAUUGCGCCCAGGCCUGCAGCUGCCACGAGGACUCGUGCGACCCAGUCACUGGUGCCUGCCGCCUGGAGACCAACCAGCGCAAGGGUGUGAUGGGCGCGGGCGCGCUGCUCGCCCUGCUCCUGGGUCUGCUGCUCUCGCUACUCGGCUGUUGCUG
Molecule: RNA transcript, 577 nt
Organism: Myotis brandtii (Brandt's bat)
Lineage: Eukaryota; Metazoa; Chordata; Mammalia; Chiroptera; Vespertilionidae
Exons: 4
Source: RefSeq, a predicted model, not a curated record